Lepus europaeus (European hare) is the source of this 102-nucleotide small nuclear RNA. The record is from RefSeq and is a predicted model, not a curated record. Lineage: Eukaryota; Metazoa; Chordata; Mammalia; Lagomorpha; Leporidae.
GUGCUCGCUUCGGCAGCACAUAUACUAAAAUUGGAACAAUACAGAGAAGAUUAGCAAAAAAACCCACAGUGAUCUGACAUAUUGGACAAUUGACUCCUUUUU